Molecule: transfer RNA, 74 nt
Filed under: bacterium
Lineage: Bacteria
Description: tRNA-Glu
Rfam family: tRNA
About the family: Transfer RNA (tRNA) molecules are approximately 80 nucleotides in length. Their secondary structure includes four short double-helical elements and three loops (D, anti-codon, and T loops).
Source: RNAcentral
GGCCCCGUCGUCUAGCGGCCUAGGACGCCAGGUUUUCAUCCUGGAGAUCAGGGGUUCGAUUCCCCUCGGGGCUA